RNAcentral lists this long non-coding RNA (1467 nucleotides) under Chinchilla lanigera (long-tailed chinchilla). RNAcentral describes it as "lncRNA (ENSCLAG00000027201.1)". Lineage: Eukaryota; Metazoa; Chordata; Mammalia; Rodentia; Chinchillidae. The record is from RNAcentral.
GAGAUUUCAGACUUCUGUGGGACCAGAGAAAGCCUGGGAAGUGAUAUUUUAUGUUAAGAUUUAUUUAUUUCUUUCUUUUUUUUUUUUUUUUUUGGUUUUUCUCUGGUACCGGGAACCGAACUCACGGCUUUGCGCUUGCCAGGCAGGCGCUUUUGCCGCUGAGCUAAAUCCCCAGCCCCAAGAUUUAUUUAUUUCAUCCUUACAGUAGGUUCCUCAGUCAGAGGAAGACUGCCCAUUUGCGCAUGGAGCACAGUAGCACCUGUCCGCCAUGCCCAUUUCUCCCUCAGGGUGACGUGAAGCUGGCAGAUGUCACCUGUAGGUGGCCAGGGGAGCAACGUCCACAGCAGAGUGAGAAACCCUGAGACUGAGAGCCUUAGAGCUCCCACAGGGGCAGCUGGGCCCGCUGUCUGCCCUCCUUCCCGAGAGUGGGAGGAGAGAAGGCAAAGGUCCCCGAGCUGUGUCCACCUUGGAAAAAGAACAGCAGACUCCAGCACUGCCAUUCACUCAUCCCAUAUUCCAGGUGAGAAAACAGAGCCGUGCAUUCCUUAGCAACCUUCAAGAAAUAUCAGGCCAGAUGGUGGGACAGCUGGCAUUCCACACAGACCCUGCCUGCUCCACACCCUGGGACUCCUGACGGGGUCUGAGCAAGCACUGGCACACAUGGCCCACGUGACUUGUUCAAGCCACUUACUCUCUCCGAGUCUCGGUUUCCUUAUUGGUGAGAAUGUAAAUUAGUGCAGUCAUUAUGAGAACACUGCAGAGGUGCCUCUAAGAACUGAAAAUAGAACUACACAAGAUCCUGCAGUCCCAGACUGGUAGGUGUCUGAAGACAAUGACAUCAGUACAUCAGACAGACAGCUGCAUGCCCGUGUUAUUACACCAGUGUGCACAAUAGUCCGAUGAGGGAUCAACUGAGAGUCCACCAACAGGUGACUGCACAGAGAGCAGUAGUACGUAUGCAGCAUGGACUGGCAUUCAGACACAUAAAGGACAAAAUCCUGCCAUUGCAGCAACACGGAGAUCACAGUGUUAACUGAAGAGCCAGGCACAGCAAGAUAAACACUGCAUAAAGACUACACGAUCUCACUCAUGUAUGAAAUCUAAAAAUGCUGAGCUCAUAGGUAGAGAGCAGAAGAAUGAUUACAAUGAGCCAGAGCGGGUACGGGGUGGAGAUGCAGCAGAGGGGCUCAAUAAUGGGUGCAAAGCCACUGCUGGUUACAAGGAAGGUGUUCAGGGACCCUGUUACAGAAAAGGGUGAGUAUACGUAGCAGUAUUGCAUCGUAGAAUUCGACUGAGCUGGAAGAAAGGAUUUUGAAUGCUGUCAUCGCAAAGAAAUGGUAAAAGUUUGAGAAGAUAAAUGACCUCAAAAUCUUGAGCGGAUCAUUGCAAAAUGUAUAAAUGUUCCAAAACAUCAUGCUGCACCCCAGCAAGAUUUAUAAUUGUUAUUUUUCAAUAAUAAAUAGUGUG